This 79-nucleotide transfer RNA is filed under the name Desmophyllum pertusum. RNAcentral describes it as "tRNA-Ala". It matches the Rfam family "tRNA". From Rfam's summary of the family: Transfer RNA (tRNA) molecules are approximately 80 nucleotides in length. The record is from RNAcentral. Lineage: Eukaryota; Metazoa; Cnidaria; Anthozoa; Scleractinia; Caryophylliidae.
UCCUCCAUAGCUCAGUGGUUAGAGCAUCCAACCGGCACCUGGAAGGUCAUGGGUUCAAUUCCUGUUGGGGAGCUCAGAA